UUUUACCGAAAGUGACCGGUCAAAAUGACCGGCAAGGUAAGAAUUUGACCGGACAACUCCGCAUUCUGGCCGGACAUUGUCCGUUGACCGGCCGUUAUUUCGCGCCCUGAGCAGCAUUAACCCGUAUUGAUACAACAUUUUUAUUUUUAUGAAUUUAUAGAAAUUGCAUCUUCCACCAGACGUUAGCGAGACCACGAGUGAUCGACAAAAGGAUCCAUUGUCUAAAAAUCCUGGCUCGUAUGGUUGUGGCGCGUCCUUGAGUAAAUUGGAUUUCUAAGUAAAUCCAAAUACUUUGUGCUCUGACGGUGCUUCCAUUUCACCAGGUGGGUGAGAAAGGCAUUGUGGGAACGUCCCCUGAUAUGUACAGUACAUAUACCCUAGUCUACACGUACACCUACACCUGAAUAUAACUGGAACCCUAUCUUUCCACAGCUACUUUUUAAUGAACUCAAAAGUUGUAGUUUGCGGUUGGCUGCCUGCCGUAAACUGUCAAUAGAGAGUUUAAGUUUCGCGUUGAUACGUCAAACAGCAAACGCCGGGCAAGGAAAAACCUUACGUUAUAAGGCAAUAAAGAGUAAACGGACUUGCUAUUUUAAAACUAUAAUGUGUACCUAUGAAAUACAUGCAUGCAGCAACCCCUCACCUUUCUCAACAGAUGAAGUAUAAAAACUCCACAUAAAGUGUUAACACUAUUAUAAACAAACAUAAAAACGUAAACACACCUGAUGUUCUAAAAUGAACGAUAACUGAUAACACUCGCUGCAAUUUCAUGUAUACCAGCUUCACAGCUUGCACAAAACACAUUAUUUAUUGUGAAUUAUCGAGUUAAGAAUGCAUGGCUUAAAAAUUUUGCAGAUAUGAAUAAAAUUGACAAGACAAAGCA
This is a non-coding RNA of Paramuricea clavata, 883 nucleotides long. The record is from the annotation of a GenBank genome assembly. NCBI's taxonomy places the organism in Eukaryota, Metazoa, Cnidaria, Anthozoa, Malacalcyonacea, Plexauridae.